UCCCCCAAAGAACAAAAUGAAUUUUAUCAUCAAUAUCAGAUUCUGAGAAAGUGUUCCAAGUUGCAGUCUCAUUGCAAAGUUCAAGGUCUUGUUUUAAAAUAGCUAAUUCUGCCUCUCUGAUUAUAUCAAAUGAUUUACAGUUAAAUAAAA
Anneissia japonica is the source of this 150-nucleotide long non-coding RNA. RefSeq lists it as uncharacterized. The transcript is spliced from 2 exons. Lineage: Eukaryota; Metazoa; Echinodermata; Crinoidea; Comatulida; Comatulidae. The record is from RefSeq and is a predicted model, not a curated record.